This 493-nucleotide ribosomal RNA is filed under the name uncultured bacterium. RNAcentral describes it as "partial 16S ribosomal RNA". It matches the Rfam family "Bacterial small subunit ribosomal RNA", at positions 30 to 523 of the family's 1533-position model. The record is from RNAcentral.
AUUGAACGCUGGCGGCAUGCUUUACACAUGCAAGUCGAACGGUAACAGGUUAAGCUGACGAGUGGCGAACGGGUGAGUAAUGCAUCGGAACGUGCCCGAUCGUGGGGGAUAACGCAGCGAAAGCUGCGCUAAUACCGCACCCGAUCUGAGGAUGAAAGCGGGGGACCGUAAGGCCUCGCGCGAUCGGAGCGGCCGAUGUCAGAUUAGGCAGUUGGUGGGGUAAAGGCUCACCAAGCCAACGAUCUGUAGCUGGUCUGAGAGGACGACCAGCCACACUGGGACUGAGACACGGCCCAGACUCCUACGGGAGGCAGCAGUGGGGAAUGUUGGACAAUGGGCGAAAGCCUGAUCCAGCCAUGCCGCGUGUGUGAAGAAGGUCUUCGGAUUGUAAAGCACUUUAAGUCGGGAGGAAGGACUGUAGGCUAAUACCUUGCAGUUUUGACGUUACCGACAGAAUAAGCACCGGCUAACUUCGUGCCAGCAGCCGCGGUAA